This 485-nucleotide ribosomal RNA is filed under the name uncultured bacterium. RNAcentral's name for it is "partial 16S ribosomal RNA". It matches the Rfam family "Bacterial small subunit ribosomal RNA", at positions 30 to 507 of the family's 1533-position model. The record is from RNAcentral.
AUUGAAUGCUGGCGGCAGGCCUAACACAUGCCAGUCGAGCGGAUGAAGGGAGCUUGCUCCUGGAUUCAGCGGCGGACGGGUGAGUAAUGCCUAGGAAUCUGCCUGGUAGUGGGGGGAUAACGUCCGGAAACGGGCGCUAAUACCGCAUACGUCCUGAGGGAGAAAGUGGGGGAUCUUCGGACCUCACGCUAUCAGAUGAGCCUAGGUCGGAUUAGCUAGUUGGUGGGGUAAAGGCCUACCAAGGCGACGAUCCGUAACUGGUCUGAGAGGAUGAUCAGUCACACUGGAACUGAGACACGGUCCAGACUCCUACGGGAGGCAGCAGUGGGGAAUAUUGGACAAUGGGCGAAAGCCUGAUCCAGCCAUGCCGCGUGUGUGAAGAAGGUCUUCGGAUUGUAAAGCACUUUAAGUUGGGAGGAAGGGCAGUAAGUUAAUACCUUGCUGUUUUGACGUUACCAACAGAAUAAGCACCGGCUAACUUCGUG